GCCAGGACUGCUACAUGCUUGAUGAUUGCGAUGCCAUAAAGGCUAAGAAAAAUAUUAGAUUUGCUUCGGCGCACCCCGUAGAAAUAUUUUACGGAUCUCAAAGCCAAGAUGGCUAUUAAUUAAACGAAAAUUAUGUGCUUUUAGAUCAUGAUGUUUCCUUCAAAACCCUAACCCAAAUUAGUAAUUUUCCCUGUUGCCGAAGAUUUUUAACCUAGCUUAUAAUGCUUUUUCGAAAGAAGAUUAGGACCAUGAUUUUUGCCCCUCGCAUGUCACCUACUACAUCGUACUUCCAUUGAAUAUCAAAACUGAAUGUCCUGAAUUGUGGUAAAGAUAAGACAGAUCGGCCGCCGCCGCCCAUGCGUAGCAAUUCAUCCGUGCCAUGUGGCAUUCAAUUCAAAGAUCUAUCAGCCAACGACGAAAGAUACAAAAGACACGUGCAUCGGUAAUCUAAUGCACAAGAUCCGGUUGAUCAAACAAGAGUACUAUAUUGAUUCUAAGAAAACGACGAUUUUAGAUCUGAUUAGGAUUUUAGAAAACGACAAUCAACAUAUACUAUUCCGGUUAUCCGGUUUUUCUUCUUGAGAAAUUCGUUAUUCACUUUAUCACGUACAUAUGUGUUUUAUGUACCACCCCAUGAGAAGUUCAUUCGGUGCAAGCCGGGUUAAGUUGCGGUGUACCGGCCGGAAAGGUGAUGGAUCAAUAAAUCAGUUAGAUCAGAAUGUUUUCCUUUUUACAACUAGGGUUUAUUAUCCCUCGAUAAAUCAGUUAGAGAAUGGGCAGGGACUAUUUGGCGGUCGUCCGCCAGGACAGAAGGUAGUGGUCAAAUUCAUUUUUUUCAAAUUUUGCUUUUCAAAAUUAGCUUUUAAUUUCUACCACUUUUUAUUUUGCAAGCUUUUUUGUUUUUAUUUUGUUGUUUCUAGCCUUCGACAGACAUGACGAGCUGAGCAGAGGAAAUGAGACAAAGAUAAAAGUGAGAGAGAAGACCGUUCAUGAUUUUUUUUUUGAGAGUAAGAAGACUGACCGUUCGAUGAUAAUACGAAGGGAAGGUGCUCGUCUUUUUUUUUUGAGGGAACCGCCACUUUAUUACUGAGCCAACAAAUGGGGGAUACAAUUGGGAUCGGGCGACUCUACUAGCCAAACAUGUCGGCCUUCCUGCCGAGAAGUCGAUGCCCUCGCCAGCGUGUGCGCCUCCAUGUUCGAUGCUCUGCCUUCAUGCACAAACUCAACAGAAGCAAAGCGAGGAUAGCAGCUCUUGAUCUCCUGCAGAACUAGGGCGAACCGGCCCAGGUUGUCACCCUUCAGAGCCGUGAUGACCUCGAGGCAGUCCGAAGAGCAAGCUGUAGAUCUUCAGCAAGGGAAAGGGCUUCCCUACACGCUAGCGCCUCCAAAGUGCCAGGAUCGUUUAUUCCGGCGAUGACCUGGGCAGAAGCGCCCAGGAACCGGCCAUCCGUGUCACGGCAGACAGCGGUGACAGCUCCAGCGCACACCUGCUUUGCAACGGCCGCGUCGACAUUGAUCUUGGCGUGAUCUGCCGGUGGGGGUAGCCAUCUCUUGGUCAGCGCCGGGGCCCCCGCUCCCCUGUUGAUUUCUCGACUAGGUGUCGAGAUCUUUAAGUCACGAAGGGAAGGUGCUCGUGGGCUUCGUGCGCGGUUAGGCACGGAAGAGUCCACUAGUUGGGCCCUAAAUAUAUGUGGGCCGAUUCAGCUGGCAGGGAGUAAGAGCGCGGGCCGUGCAAUCAUAUACUCCAUAUGC
Molecule: long non-coding RNA, 1752 nt
Filed under: Brachypodium distachyon (stiff brome)
Lineage: Eukaryota; Viridiplantae; Streptophyta; Magnoliopsida; Poales; Poaceae
Description: long non-coding RNA (BDIS_LNC002797)
Source: RNAcentral